GGGUAUAGAGCUCAGUUGGUAGAGUAUUUGCCUUGCAUGCACAAGGCCCUGAGUCCCAUCCUCAGUACCA
Molecule: transfer RNA, 70 nt
Filed under: Cricetulus griseus (Chinese hamster)
Lineage: Eukaryota; Metazoa; Chordata; Mammalia; Rodentia; Cricetidae
Rfam family: tRNA
About the family: Transfer RNA (tRNA) molecules are approximately 80 nucleotides in length.
Source: Rfam by way of RNAcentral